AUGUCAUUAAGCACCAACUUUAAAUUUUCUUUUACCCGCCACUGUAUAUAGGUAACCGUUUCCACCAAAAGCUAAUACCAACCUAAUUAGUGCUAUAACUGCUUACUACUGUAAUUACUUUGUCUUUGCAAUUGUUAUUAGCUAUUCGCUGCUGCAGUACUGUAUUUACAUAGAAAAUAUCGAACAUUAGCAUUUAAUAGUGCUUGACUAUAAAUACCAUUUAAAUAGGAAUCGCAGUCCAUGCUAUGACUAUUACCGUAUCAUGAAACAACGAAUUAACAACGCUGCUACCGUUUUCAAGUUCGCCUUCCGUAAAAUGUUGGGAACCUUUUUUGCAGAAAUGAGACUACGAAGUACUUCGUCGGAAUCAAAAGGGCAAACUUUUUUGAGAAAUUAGAAUAUGAUUGGAUAGGAGAGAUCUGGAAAACUUUGCCAGAGAUAAUCACAAUUGACCAAUUGGUGUUUUCAGUGCAAGUGUUCAUUAUGAGGAAGAAUAUUCAUUGAUCUGUUUUAAGAAACGUGUAUUUAAGCGAAAUUCGUUAAUUCGUGUUGUUGAUACUUUGCUGCUCUGAAAAUUAGAAUUGCAAAUGAUUAAGAAUGUAGCGAAAUACGCUUUCCAAUAAAACCAUUGAAAAGAGUGUUUGAUUUGAUUAAUUCGUGUAAGUAACUUUAUUGUAAUAGUUAAAGAGAAAAUAUACUGUAUGUCGGCAACAUGUAGCUUUAAACAAGAAAGAUAAUUAAUGUGGCAUCGCUGCAACAUAUACAUGUAUUAUUUAUACCAUUAAUUCCUCGAAUAUACUCCUAUUAAUGAGGUUUUUCAAAGAUUAUGUUUAAAGAAAAGAGAUUAAUGGUUUUAAUUUUCUAAACAUAAUGAAACUAACAGGCGAUAAACAUGUUAUUACAAGGAAAAAGGUGAUUAACGGUAGCGGUUGCUGUUUCGAGUCGAGUGAUUGCUAAACGAAAUUUGUAACGAUUCGUUUAAUCAUU
Molecule: unclassified non-coding RNA, 987 nt
Filed under: Bombus terrestris (buff-tailed bumblebee)
Lineage: Eukaryota; Metazoa; Arthropoda; Insecta; Hymenoptera; Apidae
Description: misc RNA ENSBTSG00005036466.1
Source: RNAcentral